CCUACGGGGGGCUGCAGUGGGGAAUAUUGCACAAUGGACGGAAGUCUGAUGCAGCAACGCCGCGUGGAGGAUGACACAUUUCGGUGCGUAAACUCCUUUUAUAGGUCAAGAUAAUGACGGUAGCCUAUGAAUAAGCGCCGGCUAACUCCGUGCCAGCAGCCGCGGUAAUACGGAGGGCGCAAGCGUUACUCGGAAUCACUGGGCGUAAAGAGCGUGUAGGCGGACUAAUAAGUCAGAAGUGAAAUCCAAUAGCUUAACUAUUGAACUGCUUUUGA
Molecule: ribosomal RNA, 275 nt
Filed under: uncultured Arcobacter sp.
Lineage: Bacteria; Pseudomonadati; Campylobacterota; Epsilonproteobacteria; Campylobacterales; Arcobacteraceae
Description: partial 16S ribosomal RNA
Rfam family: Bacterial small subunit ribosomal RNA
Source: RNAcentral